CUCCCUGAGAUUAGCGGCGGACGGGUGAGUAACACGUGGGCAACCUGCCUAUAAGACUGGGAUAACUUCGGGAAACCGGAGCUAAUACCGGAUACGUUCUUUUCUCGCAUGAGAGAAGAUGGAAAGACGGUUUACGCUGUCACUUAUAGAUGGGCCCGCGGCGCAUUAGCUAGUUGGUGAGGUAAUGGCUCACCAAGGCGACGAUGCGUAGCCGACCUGAGAGGGUGAUCGGCCACACUGGGACUGAGACACGGCCCAGACUCCUACGGGAGGCAGCAGUAGGGAAUCUUCCGCAAUGGACGAAAGUCUGACGGAGCAACGCCGCGUGAACGAAGAAGGCCUUCGGGUCGUAAAGUUCUGUUGUUAGGGAAGAACAAGUACCAGAGUAACUGCUGGUACCUUGACGGUACCUAACCAGAAAGCCACGGCUAACUACGUGCCAGCAGCCGCGGUAAUACGUAGGUGGCAAGCGUUGUCCGGAAUUAUUGGGCGUAAAGCGCGCGCAGGUGGUUCCUUAAGUCUGAUGUGAAAGCCCACGGCUCAACCGUGGAGGGUCAUUGGAAACUGGGGAACUUGAGUGCAGAAGAGGAAAGUGGAAUUCCAAGUGUAGCGGUGAAAUGCGUAGAGAUUUGGAGGAACACCAGUGGCGA
This 650-nucleotide ribosomal RNA is filed under the name Bacillus sp. AE2B 250. Its description in RNAcentral is "bacterial SSU rRNA". It matches the Rfam family "Bacterial small subunit ribosomal RNA", at positions 82 to 718 of the family's 1533-position model. Lineage: Bacteria; Bacillati; Bacillota; Bacilli; Caryophanales; Bacillaceae. The record is from RNAcentral.